UACGUAGGGUGCAAGCGUUACUCGGAAUUACUGGGCGUAAAGCGUGCGCAGGCGGUUUUGUAAGUCAGAUGUGAAAUCCCCGGGCUUAACCUGGGAACUGCGUUUGAAACUACAAGGCUAGAGUGUGACAGAGGGGGGUGGAAUUCCACGUGUAGCAGUGAAAUGCGUAGAGAUGUGGAGGAACACCGAUGGCGAAGGCAGCCCCCUGGGUUAACACUGACGCUCAGGCACGAAAGCGUGGGGAGCAAACAGG
Molecule: ribosomal RNA, 253 nt
Filed under: uncultured bacterium
Lineage: Bacteria
Description: partial 16S ribosomal RNA
Rfam family: Bacterial small subunit ribosomal RNA
Source: RNAcentral